CUAGUUCCUUCGAUAUCAGUGUAAUCUAAUAAUCAUGAUAUUUGCUGUGUAAUGUACAUUACACCAAUACGGCAAACAUCAUGAUUAUUAGAUUACACUGAUAUCGAAGGAACUA
Paramuricea clavata is the source of this 115-nucleotide non-coding RNA. NCBI's taxonomy places the organism in Eukaryota, Metazoa, Cnidaria, Anthozoa, Malacalcyonacea, Plexauridae. The record is from the annotation of a GenBank genome assembly.